UACGGGGGGAGCAAGCGUUGUUCGGAUUUACUGGGCGUAAAGGGCGCGUAGGCGGCGUGACAAGUCACUUGUGAAAUCUCCGGGCUUAACUCGGAACGGUCAAGUGAUACUGUCGUGCUAGAGUGCAGAAGGGGCAACUGGAAUUCUCGGUGUAGCGGUGAAAUGCGUAGAUAUCGAGAGGAACACCUGCGGCGAAGGCGGGUUGCUGGGCUGAUACUGACGCUGAGGCGCGAAAGCCAGGGGAGCGAACGGG
Molecule: ribosomal RNA, 253 nt
Filed under: uncultured bacterium
Lineage: Bacteria
Description: partial 16S ribosomal RNA
Rfam family: Bacterial small subunit ribosomal RNA
Source: RNAcentral